RNAcentral lists this ribosomal RNA (164 nucleotides) under uncultured bacterium. RNAcentral describes it as "partial 16S rRNA". It matches the Rfam family "Bacterial small subunit ribosomal RNA", at positions 355 to 511 of the family's 1533-position model. The record is from RNAcentral.
UAGGGUAUCUUCCACAAUGGGCGAAAGCCUGAUGGAGCAACGCCGCGUGUGUGAUGAAGGGUUUCGGCUCGUAAAACACUGUUGUAAGAGAAGAAUGACAUUGAGAGUAACUGUUCAAUGUGUGACGGUAUCUUACCAGAAAGGAACGGCUAAAUACGUGCCAG